Molecule: ribosomal RNA, 562 nt
Filed under: uncultured organism
Description: bacterial SSU rRNA
Rfam family: Bacterial small subunit ribosomal RNA
Source: RNAcentral
AUAGCGCUCCGUGUCGAAGCGAACGCGUUAAGCAUCCCGCCUGGGGACUACGGCCGCAAGUGUUUAACGCAUACGAAUUGACGGGACCCCGCACAAGCAGCGGAGCGUGUGGUUAAUUUCGAUGCUACACGAAGAACCUUACUUGGGUUUGACAUCUAGGUGGUAGUGAAGCGAAAGCGGAGCGACCUUUCGGGGAGCCUAGACAGGUGCUGCAUGGCUGUCGUCAGCUCGUGCCGUGAGGUGUCGGGUUAAGUCCAAAAACGAGCGCAACCGGUGCCCUCCGUUAUACGUGUCAGAGGGGACUGCCGGCGCUCCGCCGGACGAAGGUGGGGAUGACGUCAAGUCAGCAUGGCCUUUAUAUCCAGGGCUACACACACGCUACAAUGGCCAGUACAAAGGGCAGCGAAGCCGCGAGGUGGAGCGAAUCNCAGCAAGCAUGGUCGUAGUUCGGAUUGCAGGCUGCAACCCGCCUGCAUGAAGCUGGAGUUGCUAGUAACCGCGCGUCCUCAUCUGUGCGGUGAUACGUUCCCGGGUUUGACACACCGCCCGUACGUCAUGGGAG